UACAGUCUGAAGAUGCUUUACACGUGUACUUGGCCUCGAUUCGAAACCCAACACUGACGUUCUACCGGUGUAUCUAAUUUUGAAACGUAAAGAAGGAAACGAGAAGAUACAUCGCGGAACUAUUAUUUUAACGUGUUAUAUCUAUUCAUCACCAGAAGAGACACAUCUGCACCGUCGGAUGCUCCUGAAUCAGUUGUGAACUAUCCUUCCCGCGAGACUAAAAUUUAAAACGUUCAACUUCUCAAGAUGUUCGUUGAGAAAUGCUACUCCCACCCACCGAUUAUCAUCGUUAAGAAAUUCAAAUCCAGAAUUUUCAGCUUCGAAGAAACAUUAUUUCAGUUCGCAAAGAAGUAAAUCAAGAGAGCACUUUUCCUUUCGAGAGUCACCGCACUUCUGUAUGAAGCAGUAAACACCUAAAAUCAGAAUCCAUAGUUUCACAUACGGAUGCAAAAUGUCUGCAGCAUCUAUGACGAUGAAGUGCCAAGAAGAAAAAGAAAACCGUAAACAAAGCAACGAACGAAAUUAGUUGACAACCUAAUAGAAACAUAUAACGAAUUCCUCGGCAGAACCAACAGAGCGUAGGAACUUAAUUUGUAGAAUACCCUGCCAGAAUCAGUAGGAUGCAAGGGCAAUGUGCAUGUAGCAUUCUUAUGCAUGUGGGGUCGGGUGCAAAAAAUAUACACCAGUCAAUGACAGGAAGGAUAUUAUAAGCGGCAAUAACGGUACUUUCUAAAAUGUCCGGUCAAGCUAGGUAAUAUAUUGGACAUGCUCCACUGCAUCCAGCAUUUGUUAAUAUUCUCUCCUGGCGGAUGACAAACUGCACCACUCAAGGGACAACUCCUCUAACCAAUUCUGUCCUGCAGGGUUUUCCUCAUACGACGUACCUAUAAAGGGAGUCGAGGCACUUUCCCGGAGGAGAGAAUUUGAUGGAUCUGUUUGGAUAGUCGUUAUUACCAGGUGGGUUUUUUUUAUGAGGGCGGAGUAUAAAUCGUCUCUAAACACCUUUUAGUCGCCUUUUACGACACACAGAGGAAACACUGGAUCUAUACUUUCACAUAACAUUCCCCUCUCAGUUCCUUAAAAGAAUCUUCAAAUAUUCACAAAAAUUCACAAAAUAUGACACAGUCCUAAAUUAUGCAUCAUUUCGAAAUUUACAUAUUUAUGUUAUGACUUGCAGUAUAUGUUCUGGCUCUUUACAUCCUGUGUUCAAAUCGUACAGAGAUCAGUAUAUGAGACAGAGAGAUAGAUAGAGAUAAAUAGAUAGAUAAAUAGACAGCUAGAUAGAUAGAAAGAGAGAGAGAGAGAGAGAGAGAGAGAGAGAGAGCGUGUGUGUGUGUGUGUGUGUGUAUGUGUGUGUGUGUGUGUAUGUGUGUGUGUGUGUGUGUGCAUGUGUAUUUUCUAAGUGAUUUCUAAGCCUGGUAGAAAUAAUGGUCAUGCUUCCUUCAAAUUAUAGCCCACCAUCCGAAACAAAGCUCAGCUGGGUCGAUAACAUAAAGUACUAACUAAGUAGUAAGAUCAAUAUAUCCGACUGUUCAAUACUCCAACAAUUCGAUGUCCCGUUCUAGUUUUAGAAAUCAAUAUUUAUGAAAAGAGAGAAAAAUUAAAACGAGCAAACAAGUAAGCAGCAGGUGUAAUUUACAAGUUGAUAUUACUUUUACUAUUCUGACAAUGCUUCAAUUACUUGUCUGAUUAUCGAUUCUUCGGCAAUCGCUUUGCUAUUUAUUCCUAUCUUUCACAAAUUUAAUACUUCUGUAAAACGACGAAAGUCCAGAAAAGAUCAAACAGACAGGAUCAAUAUAGCAAAGCAAUUUUUGAUAUAUAUAUAUAUAUAUAUAUAUAUAUAUAUAUGUAUUAUAUAUGGUUUAUAUUAUGAAAUUUUAGCAAGAAUAAAUUCUAUAUUCGAAAUAGAUUUGAAAAUGUGAAAAAGAAAAAUUUCUUAAGAUCUUCUUAUUUGGAAAGUAAAGUCUGUCUGCUGUGUAAACUUUUUAAAUAUGGUUCAUGAAGAAAUGUCACAUAUUUU
Octopus bimaculoides (California two-spot octopus) is the source of this 2020-nucleotide long non-coding RNA. The record is from RefSeq and is a predicted model, not a curated record. NCBI's taxonomy places the organism in Eukaryota, Metazoa, Mollusca, Cephalopoda, Octopoda, Octopodidae.